AGUGGUGGUUGGCGCGUAUGGGCAUGUUGGAUCCCUGCUCGGGCAGCGACAGCAUCUCCUGCACGGCUCUUCAGUAUUCGGCGCAAGCACGGCUUGUCCGCAGUUGGUUUUCCUGUGCUGCAUACCUAUUGCAACGGCAUUCGUAGGCUAAAAGAGUCCCACCUCCGCCUUGCGCCGCUGCUCCCUGCGAGCGGGCGGCUCGGGGUGGAUCUCGUGGCAAUCGUCGUGUUUCGCACCGCAUUCGCCGAUUCUGGUGUUUGGGUGAACGACCCACGGCGCAUUGCCCGUCGUCUCGGGUACGGAAUAUCGGGUGGAUACGGGGCCACCGGCCUCGGAUGACCACACAAAUGCGUUCUACGCUUUUUGCGAACGACGGUCGGUUCGGUCUUUGGCUGGGCUCCCGUGGCUCGGUCGGAGCCGGGCCGA
RNAcentral lists this unclassified non-coding RNA (426 nucleotides) under Tetradenia nervosa. Its description in RNAcentral is "partial contains external transcribed spacer and small subunit ribosomal RNA". The record is from RNAcentral. Lineage: Eukaryota; Viridiplantae; Streptophyta; Magnoliopsida; Lamiales; Lamiaceae.